GCGGAGGAAAAGAAAAUAACAAUGAUUCCCCCAGUAACGGCGAGUGAACAGGGAAAAGCUCAAAGUUGGAACCUCCUGGCCCUAGGCCUGGCGGAUUGUAAACUAAAGCUCUCGAGUAGUUUGGCUAGCCCAGUAAUCAAGUUCUCUGGAAAGGGACGACAAAGAGGGUGAAAUCCCCGUUUUUGGCUGGAGCAUAGUCUUGCGUUUGCUUGGAAGCGAAGAGUCAGGUUGUUUGGUAUUGCAGCCUAAAGCUGGAGGUAAAUCUCUCCUAAAGCUAAAUAUUGACGAAAGACCGAUAGCGAACAAGUACCGUGAGGGAAAGAUGAAAAGCACCUUGAAAAGGGGGUCAAAAAGUACGUGAAAUUGCUGAAAGGGAACCGUAUGAAAUCAGCCUGUCCCUUUGGUAAUCAACCUGGACUUUGGUCUGGGUGCACUUGCCAGUGGGUACAGCCUGCGACAAUUUGAUUUGGGGGAAAAAAUCAGGGGGAAUGUGGCCUCGGCUUCGGUCGUGGUGUUAUAGCCCUUUGAAAAAUACCCUGGGUUGGAUUGAGGACUGCAGCGAGCCCUUUUGGGGGAUGAACUGUGGGCGCUUGGUUCGUGUUGGGAGGAAAUCUCUACUUUGGGUAGUGUUCUUCCAGCAUGAGCCAACCCGCCUACUUUUUCUUUUUCUCGCUUAGGUCGCAGCCUAAUGAUUUAUAUGAC
Molecule: ribosomal RNA, 702 nt
Filed under: Absidia nigra
Lineage: Eukaryota; Fungi; Mucoromycota; Mucoromycetes; Mucorales; Cunninghamellaceae
Description: eukaryotic LSU rRNA
Rfam family: Eukaryotic large subunit ribosomal RNA
Source: RNAcentral